GGAGCGGUCCUCUGCUGGGCCGUGUGGGCCAGGGGCAUGUCAGGAAGGAGCUGGUCGCUGGGCUGAGAGCGGUCCCUGCAGGCUGAGCCCAGAGCACGAGUUUGGAGACUGACAUGGGGCUCCUCUUAGACACCCCAUAGAUGUUGGAGGUGACGAGUUUAGGGAAAGUAAUUAGGUGAAAAUAUCCACAACCAGAAAGAUGGUUGGCAACCAUUGCAGGAUCCUGCCAGUAGUGUGUAGGAAUAUAAAUCUACAAGACAUCGUUUUCUUUUAUCUUUGUUUGUUUACUUUCUUUAAAAUUGUUUUCAUUGGUAUUUAUUUGUGAUACAUACUUAAGUAUUUGGGGCACUCAAUCUGAAGCAGCACAGAGAAAAUGAGAGAGAUUAGGAGACAAAGGAGAAGGCCUUUAUUGAAGGCAUGGGCAAGCUUCACAGGGCAGGGAUACAGAGGCUCUAGGUGAGAAGGAAGACGUGGCACUACUGUAUUCAGUUCCGGCUGGGGAGGAGUUUGGGAGGUGGACAGCACGACAUAUUAACCACUGAUUUGAAGGCGUAUCUGUCUGUGCAAAACAGGAGACAGAAAGAUUUAGUGGGGGCUGGAGGUGGAGGCUUGGGUAUUGUGGAGUCUUGGGGUUGCAGAGGGCUUGGAGCACGUGCAGAAAGGGAGCGGGAGGUUUAUCUCUGGAAUGAGAACAUAGUAGUCUUGAAGAGAUAAAUUGUUUCUCUGGGUUCCGUUCCAAGUUGGGAGGAUAUAGCUAAGCCCCAGACUGGCAGGACCUAUCAAUAAUGAAUGCGUUCAUUAUGGAGAUUUGGUACAUAUAGUUACUACAUUUUAAUCCUUUUCUUUCUCCUUCUUUCCCUUCCCUUUUCUCCCCUUCCGUCCCUGGGUCACCUUUCCAUCUGCCUAUCCCCUAUUUUUUUAUUUUGCCUUUUAAUUUGUUUAUACUUAGUUUUUCAUGUAAGAGAAACUAUGUGAUACUUAACCUGCUGGGUCUCAUUUGUUUCACUUAACAUUAUGAACUCAAAGUGCAUCCAUUUUCCUACUAAUGACAAAAUGUAUUGUUCAUGGCUGUCUUGGUUACUUUCUCUCAUUGUUGAGACAAAAUAGCUGAUGCCCAAAAUGAAGAAAAGAAAGGUUUGUUGGAGGUUUCAGACCAUACUCAGCUGGCUCCAAGGCAGUGUGGUGUGGCUAAGGGGCAGCCAAUCACAGUGGCAGCAGAAUAAAAGGGACAAAAAGAGGAUAGGCCCGCCUUCUUCUCUUCCUUAUAUUGUGUGCUGGCUGGGUCCCUGGGUGGGUGGAGCCUCACAUCACCAAUCCCAGCACUAGACAAAGAACCAAUCACAAUCACUAGAUUCUGCCACCUGCAUCACUGCAUGAGGGGCAUCCACCUAGACACAAACCAUAACAAUGGCCCAGUACAACUCUGUUGUGUAUAUUGUGAGCACUGCUAUAGCAAUGGGUGCUCAGGUAUCACUGUAAUAUGAUAUCUGUAAUUCCUUUUGGGAAAAUACCCAGAAGGUGCGUGGCUGGGUUAAAUGGAAUUUCUUUUUUGAGGGGUUUUGUUUUUGUUUUUUGUAAUUUUUAUUUUAAAGAGAGUAAAACGAAGCAAUGCAAAACAGAAUAAAGCCAAUCAAAACUACAACAACAAAAAAACCUGUGACACAAGACUUCAAAAUAAGAUAACAGGAAAUCAACAAUGGUUACUAUAAUGCCUCCUAUUGUCUUCAAAAUAGCUGCCCAUACCCUCAGACAUAGCAAAAUUCAAACAAAACAGAACAGAAUAAAACCAAUAAAAAUAAAACAACGAAUGCAAUACAGGACUUCAAAACAAGACAGUAGUAAAUCCAAAAUGGCUACCAUAAUAUAUCUAGUUAUCUUUGAAAUAGCUGCCCAUGCCACUGGAUAUAGCAAAAUCAAACAAGACGAAACAGUAAAAUCCAACCCAACAAAACAAUGAAAAUGAAUCAGGACUUCAAAACAAGAAAAUAGGAAAUCGACAAUGAAUACCACCUCCAGAAGGAGAUGCCUCAUAGAUGCUACAUUGGGUACUGUUAUCCUGAGGCCUGCAAAGUCAGUGAAACACCAAACACUGUAAGCGUGAAGCUGUAUCAAAGCUAUCAUUGCAGGCUGUGUUUCUCGAGAUCAGCCAGUCGCUUAAGGGAGGCGGGACACUGGCCUUGACCCUUCUUGUCUCCCAACUCAUGCGCCAAGAGUCUGCCAUCUGAUUCUCUCCCCAGUGGCCUGCGCAUGGCACUGACUUGCAGGAAGGGCUUGUCUUUUGAGGUUUUUGAGUAAAUCUCUGUACUAAUUUACGUAGUGGUCUUACCAGUUUAUGUUCCCACCAACAACGGAGGAUUCCUUUUCCCCACAGCCUCUCCAGCACUUGCUUUUUGAGUUCUUGAUAAUAUCCAUUCUUUAUGGAGUAAAAGGGAAAGUCAGGGUUGUUUUGAUUUGCGUUUCUCUAGUAAUAAAAGAUACCGAAUAUCUUUUCAUGUGUACACUGGUCAUUCACGGUUCUGAGAAAUGUAUAUUCAUUUCCAUUUCUGAUUUUGGAAAAGUAUUUUAUUUACUGAGGCUAAUUUUUUAUUUCUUUAUAUAUUCUAGGUUUUAGUCAUCUAGUGAGUAGCUGGAAAAUGUCUUUCCCAUUCUAUAGGUUGUCUCUUCACUUACUGGAUGUUUGCUUUGCUUUGUGGAAGGUUUUUAAUUUUAUAUAAUAUUAUUAGUCCCACCAUUUGCAAUUUCUUGUGGAAUUGGGAUUUCUGUUCAGAAAGUCCUUGCCCAUGUUUAUGUCUUCAAGAGUUUAACCUAUUUUGUCUUCCAGUUUAGUCAGUGCUUCUAUUUUAAUACCUAGGGUUUUAUCCCUCUUGAUUUGAUUUUAUUACAGCAUGAAAUAUAUGGAUCUAAAUUCAUUCUUCUGCAUACAGAUGCCCAGUUUUCCAAGCAUCAUUUGCCUGAAAAGGCCAUCUUGUCUACUACAUACAUUUUGCACCCCUUUAUAAAAGAUCACAUGGCUGCAUGUGCCUGGGUUGUUUCUGCACCCUCUCUUCUGUGAUCCACAUUCUGUUUUGGGUCCAGUAUCAUCCUAUUUAUAUGGCUAUAGAUGUGUAAUAUAAUUUGAAAUCCAGGAUUGUGAUGCUUCCUGCUUUGCUCUUGUUACCCAGGAUUGCUUUGGCUGUUCUAGAUCUCAACUGAUUCCAUAUAAAUUUUAGGAUUGUUUUUAGUUCUGUGAAGAAUGCCUUUGGCAUUUGAUUCAAAUUGCAUUAAAUCGAGAUGUCAUUUUUGGUAAUUUGGCCAUUUUGACAUUACUGGUCCUGCCUAUCCAGGAACAGGAGAUGUCCGUACAUUUUCUGGAGUGCUGUUUCAUCUCCUUUUUUUGGGUACUAUAGUUUUAAUUUAGAGAUCUUUUACUUCCUUGGUUAGGUUAGUUCAUGUGUAUUUCAUUUUUUGAAGCUACUAUGAAUGAGAUUAUUUACCAAAUUUCUCUCUUAAUAGUUUCCUUGUUGGUAUAUGAGAAAACUAUUGAUUUUUUGUGUGUAUUUAUUUUGUGUCCUGGUUCUUUAUUGAUUUUGUUAUAGAAAACUUUAAAUGUAAUUUUUGGGUCUUCCAUAUGAAGGAUCAUGUAAUCUGUGAUUAAGGAGACAGCACCUCCUAGUACCCUGGGAAAAGAAACACCCCUGGGAAAACAGUAGUCCAACAGAGGCAUGGUGGAUCUUCUCACAGACAGGAGAGACAGGCUGGAGGGAGCAUGGCCUGGGUGGGACAAGGUCAUUUAAAAAGAUGGAGCCAGAAGAGCACAAAGCACUGACUCCUAGUAACAGGGACAUUUGAGCUCCUCCUAUCUUGUGUGUAUCCCUUUUAUUUCUUUCUUCUGCCUGAUUGUUCUGGCUAAAGUGUAAAGUGCUAGAGUGAAAGGAGUGGUGAUAGUGUACACUAUUGUCUUGUUUUUUAGUUUAGAGAGAAAGCUUUCAAUUUUUCUUCAUUUGAUGAUUUUGGCAGUGGGUUUGUCAUAAAUGACCUUCAUCAGUCUGAGAAAGAGUUUUUAUAUACCUGUUUUUUUUUUUAUCAUGAUUGGAUGUUGGAUUUUGUCAAAGCCUUUUCUGGCAGCUAUUGAUAGGAAAUUUUGACUUCUAUCCUUGCUUCCGUUUAUGUGGUUUACUGGUUUAAUUUUGAUUGCCAUAUGUUCAAUCAACCUUGUAUUCCCGAGGCAAAACCAUCUGAUGAUGUGUGAUCUUUUUAAUUUGUGGCAGACUGUUUCCACAUACCUGGUUAAGGUAUUUUGCAGCUAUGUUCAUGUCCUGGUUACUUUUCUCUCAUUGCUGAGACAAAAUACCUAACACCCAAAAUUAAGGAGGGUAGGAUUUAUUUAGCUCACGGUUUGUGGAGGUUUCAGUCUGUAAUCAGCUGGCUCCAAGGCAGAGUUGCAUGGCACAGGGGCAACACUUCAAGGUGGCAGAAGAAGCAAAAGCAACAAAAGUAACAAGGGAGGGAGGAGAGAAAGCCUCUUUUCCUCUCUUAUAUGGUAAGCAUGAUACCCUACCCGCUCCCUGGUGAGUGUAACACUCACACCAUCUCCUGUCCUCCUCUUGCACAGGCUCAGGAUGUUUAUGAAGGGAGGACCUUGACUUGCUGAAUCACUUAGUUAAACUUCUGAACUUCUGGAGUUGACACAAUGAACAACAUGCUACAGUGGCCUCUUCUCUCUCCAGAUGAAUUUGAGGAGUGAUUUCUCGAAAUCUAUGAGCUACUGAGUCUCUCGCACCAUGUUACCCCUAGCCACUGGGCCUGCAGAACCAAUGGCCAUCCUCCGCCUGUUCAGAACUCUGCGGUUCCAGAUAAACUAGGCCACAGGGACACUGUGUGCCCACCUGCCCGUUGGAAGCUCCACAGCUCUCCAAGCGCAGCCAGGAUGUGGUAGGCGGAUAUACACGCGUCAAACCCACCUCUCCACUUCACUGCACCUGGAAGCCUGGAGGUACCCGAACAGUCUGGGCUUUGGGCAGAGUGCGUUGAGCACUCACCACAGGCUGCAGGGCCUCUGGAACCUGCGAUGCUCCACUGCCCGCUGAGACAUCCACAGUCUUCCAGACACACAGGGAGUCUGAUGCAGGUGCCCCAGAUCUGCCCAGCCCCUCCUCUGCACACCGAUGGUGAGGUUCGGGAGUCUCAAACAGGCUGGGCUCCAGGGAUAGCGUGGGUCCGCCCACCUGUUGGAAGCUCAGCAGUUCUCUAAGUGCAGCCGGGAUGGGGAGGUGGAUGUAGAGGCCUCAAACGCACUUCUCCACUUCACUGCACCCAGAAUUCUGGAGGGUCCUGAACAGUCUGGGAUUUGGGCAGAGUGCGCUGAGCACUCACCACAGGCCGCGGUGCCUGUGGAACCUGCGAUCCUCCCCUGCUUGCUGAGAUAUCCACAGUCCUCCAGACACACAGGGAGGCUGAUUCAGGUGCCCCAGAUCCGCCCAGCCCCUCCUCUAAAGAAGUCUUUCAAGAGACAGCAACAAGAUGAUCUACUUCGUUUUUAUACUUAACCCUAUUACCAGGAAGUUGUGAAUGAGAAUGGAUAUAAGUUGUAAAAAUAGGAAAAUCUGUUAUGAAUACCAAUUUAUAGUUGACAGAACAAUUGAUCAGGUCAUUAGCAUUAUACAAAGUGGCUAUUUUGGUUGACUGUGAACCAAACAGAUUAGGAGACUGUAACAAUAUUAAUCAAUUCUAGAACAUACAAUAAAAGUUAUGCUCUUUGUACAGAAUGGAAGAGAGUUUGCCACACCUUAGAAACCCUUCCCCCAUAUCUAGCUUUUCCAUUGCUGCUACCAUUAGUGAAAUAUGUGUCUGCUUCAUCUCUAGGUUCAUAACAUACAUAACAAUUUUAGGUAAAAUCCAAGGAUGCCACUUAAGAAAUUGUAAAAACUUAGAGUUAGGAAAAUGAUUGUCUAUUUUUCCUAUAUAGUCAGCAAGACAUUUACCAUUGUUCACUUAUUGAUAAAGCAUGUUCUAUCUCCUGUCUUGUUAGGGCAAAAAUAAUAGAUAUGAGGUCUUUUCCUGAUAAGUGCCAUGAGCAACAGUGUCCCUUAUACAGAAAGCCUAUUUUAUACUUGUACAUAGUGAGCCUCUUUUGUUCACUGUAGGAAGAAGAAUCCAUUCUACCACAGCUUCUUCUUGUGAUGAUUUAGCUGUAGAUGAAUGUGUUGAUGGAAAGACUAAAAGUAUUACUGGUUUAGAUCUUGACUUCCUGCUCUUGAUUUUCCUGCCUUAUGCUCCUUUCUCAUAUAGUUAAUCUUUCCACAUCCAAAACAUUUAGUAGUUUUUGGGGCAAAUAGAUCAGUCUCUUUUAAUGUGGCUGCUAGCAAUCUGGCCUUAAAAGUUUCUGACCCUAUGUCCUGACAGGCUUUGAUAUAUUCAUCUAAAGUGGCUCCCUAAGAUUUUCAAAGUCAUAAUACCCAUUUACAUUCUGAAUUAACAUUGUCAAAAGAUAACAUUUGCAAAAAAAGUCCCUCAAAUCCAGCUGAGACACUGUGUUUUGAAAAACUUCUGUUAAUCUAGCUAUAAAUUCUACUUAAGGUUCAUUGGCACUUUGGACUACUUUGACCACUGAUGGAGCCACUUGUCCAGGGAGAGCAAUCUCUUCCCAUGCUUUUAAACAGCACAUUCUUGCCUGAACAAUAGCAGUAUCAUUAUAUUGUAGCUGUUGAUUUAUUCCAAACCAGUCUCCAGACCCAGUGAGUUGGUUGGCAGAGGGAGAGAUUGAAGGGUCAGCAUGUUCUUUGCGUCAGGCAGUCAAUUCUGCUUUAUCUCUCCACCAAGUUUUAAACUGAAAGAAUUCAAUGGAGCUGAGAACCCAGUCCCAUGGAAUCAAAUGUUCAGAUUAAGCCAAUCCCAAAAUCACAGCUUUAGUUAAGGAAAAUUUACUCCAUAAGAUAUAAAAGUUUGUUUUAUUUUCUUAACUUUCUUUAAAGGUAGUGGGGCCAGGGAUUUAGCUCAGCAGUAUAAGUACCUGCCUGGUAAGCACAAGGUCAUGAGUUCAAUUCCCAGUACCAAAAAAUAAAAUUAAAUUUAAAAGUUACUACUAUAACUUUUAUAGUGGGUUACAACCAUAUUUAAUGUAACCUUGAGGAUUUUGCUGAUCUCCUGGCAAUUAGAUGAUAGUAACUGGACACAUAGCAAAAGGUUGACAAGCACAAAUCACCCUCCUGUUUUGCUUGAACAAAAACCUUAACCACAGUGGUCAUCAGUGUUGGUGUUGCAACAGUUAUUUGAGAUAGAUCAAGAAAAGGUUAGAUUUAUCAUAUACUGGAGCUAACGGUGCCACAGAAUACUCCUGGGACCUAAGAAGCAGCAUGGAAGGAAAGUCAGAUUGUACUGGUUUAUCAAUAUGCCAUGGUAAGGAAGGUUUUAGUGUAACAGAAGUGUUUCCAGAAGAUCCAUACCUCCUCUGUAAUUUGUCCCUGAUUCUGAAGCAGUAGUCCCCUCACAAGAACAAUCAUCUGAUUCAGAGUCAGAACUGUCCCUGCCUUUCUCAUUUUCCCCAUUAGACAAAAUUUUCUGUUCAAAUUCAGACUAUAUGAGUUCUAAAGCCAAAGUUAUUAAAUUACAUAAAGACCAAACAUGUAAAGGAAUAGAAUUCCCUUGCUGAUAAGUACAUUUCAAAGCUUUCAUUACCAAUCUCAACAGCUUUAAGUAUAAAACAUUAUGUCCCUUGGGUUCAAAUCAAUAACAAUAUUUCCAUAUCAAGGUGAAUAAUUUGGUGAAAGACUGUGGUUUCACUUUAACCCCCAGGCUCUUCAACAAAGUUUUAAGUAUCUGAGCUCAUUCUUGUUGCGACAGGGAAUUUCCCAUGGCAACCCUGAUGCAAAAUUCCUGGAGACUGGCCUUACUUAUCCAUCUGAUGCUUCCUUGUCCGCUAAACAUUAAAAUCCCUUCUUGAUAUCUCGAAGUCUCCUUUCAUUGUCAGGUCCCUGUUCAGGCACCAAAAUGUUGGUUUCUGUGAAAAUGACAGGUCUCCAUGAUGAGGUGUAGCAGAUUAAAAGAAAGACAAAAGAAACAAAAGUCUGGGAUCUGGGCUGGGGGCUUGGGAUUUAUCUCAGUGGUGUAAGUGCUUGCCUGGAAAGCACGAGGUUGUGAGUUUGAUUCCUGGUACCAAAAAAAAAAAAAAAAAAAAAAAAAAAAAAAGGUGUGGAA
This is a long non-coding RNA of Cavia porcellus (domestic guinea pig), 8172 nucleotides long. RefSeq lists it as uncharacterized. NCBI's taxonomy places the organism in Eukaryota, Metazoa, Chordata, Mammalia, Rodentia, Caviidae. The record is from RefSeq and is a predicted model, not a curated record. The transcript has 3 exons.